UACAGAGGGUGCGAGCGUUGUUCGGAAUUACUGGGCGUAAAGCGCGCGCAGGCGGCUCUUUAAGUCUCGUGGUCAAAUGCCGGGGCUCAACCCCGAGCGUGCCGGGGAUACUGGAGGGCUGGAGACAGGUAGAGGCAAGCGGAAUUCCGGGUGUAGCGGUGGAAUGCGUAGAGAUCCGGAAGAACACCGGUGGCGAAGGCGGUCUGCUGGGCAGUUGCUGACACUGAUGCGCGACAGCGUGGGGAGCAAACAGG
This 254-nucleotide ribosomal RNA is filed under the name uncultured bacterium. Its description in RNAcentral is "partial 16S ribosomal RNA". It matches the Rfam family "Bacterial small subunit ribosomal RNA", at positions 524 to 776 of the family's 1533-position model. The record is from RNAcentral.